This 468-nucleotide ribosomal RNA is filed under the name uncultured bacterium. Its description in RNAcentral is "partial 16S ribosomal RNA". It matches the Rfam family "Bacterial small subunit ribosomal RNA", at positions 28 to 507 of the family's 1533-position model. The record is from RNAcentral.
GACGAACGCUGGCGGCGUGCUUAACACAUGCAAGUCGAACGGAAAGGCCCUGCUUUUAUGGGGUGCUCGAGUGGCGAACGGGUGAGUAACACGUGAGUAACCUGCCCUUGACUUUGGGAUAACUUCAGGAAACUGGGGCUAAUACCGGAUAGGAGCUCCUGCUGCAUGGUGGGGGUUGGAAAGUUUCGGCGGUUGGGGAUGGACUCGCGGCUUAUCAGCUUGUUGGUGGGGUAGUGGCUUACCGAGGCUUUGACGGGUAGCCGGCCUGAGAGGGUGACCGGCCACAUUGGGACUGAGAUACGGCCCAGACUCCUACGGGAGGCAGCAGUGGGGAAUAUUGCACAAUGGGCGGAAGCCUGAUGCAGCAACGCCGCGUGCGGGAUGACGGCCUUCGGGUUGUAAACCGCUUUCGCCUGUGACGAAGCGUGAGUGACGGUAAUGGGUAAAGAAGCACCGGCUAACUACGUG